This 586-nucleotide long non-coding RNA is filed under the name Olea europaea subsp. europaea. Lineage: Eukaryota; Viridiplantae; Streptophyta; Magnoliopsida; Lamiales; Oleaceae. The record is from RNAcentral.
CUGAUCUUGAAAUUAUCAGUUGAUGAAUGUCUUAACAGACAAUGGCUCACACAUUUUCUGGAGACAUUCAUUCUUAUAUGUCUUAACAGACAUUCCUUCUCUUAACAUUGUCGUGAUAUUUUUCUUAUAUCAAUCUGCCAUAGAUAAAUCUGUAUGCUUCUCGUCAUUCAAGUUUUGUUGAUUCAACUUCAUUUAGAUAAAAUAGAGUUCUCAUAUAUCAGCAACACGUGAUUAGGGAGAGAAAUCAGCAGACGAAUUGGAUUUUGGAGUGGUUUCAAAUGCAGCCAGUCAUUACAUAAUAAGGAAAUAGUUAAGGACCUCUUUAUAGGUUAUUUUUCGUGCUUCCCGUUGUGCACAGCUUGGCUUUUUUGCCAAUUGACCCCGGUGGAAACUAAUUGUUUCUUGAGUUCUAUAGUUGGCCUGGACUAGAGAAAGAGUUCAUACAUUACAUACAUAUUUAUUCAAUUGUAUAUAGUCUGUUGUAAAGUAAUCUACAUAUGGUUGGAAACUCAAUGUAAUUAGCUCGUACAUUUUACGUACAAUUUCUUUAUAGAAUUUUUGAUAAAAAGCUAUCAUAACUCAAUGA